RNAcentral lists this ribosomal RNA (781 nucleotides) under Bacillus cereus. Its description in RNAcentral is "bacterial SSU rRNA". It matches the Rfam family "Bacterial small subunit ribosomal RNA", at positions 37 to 798 of the family's 1533-position model. Lineage: Bacteria; Bacillati; Bacillota; Bacilli; Caryophanales; Bacillaceae. The record is from RNAcentral.
GGGAGGCGGGUACUAUACAUGCAAGUCGAGCGAAUGGAUUAAGAGCUUGCUCUUAUGAAGUUAGCGGCGGACGGGUGAGUAACACGUGGGUAACCUGCCCAUAAGACUGGGAUAACUCCGGGAAACCGGGGCUAAUACCGGAUAACAUUUUGAACCGCAUGGUUCGAAAUUGAAAGGCGGCUUCGGCUGUCACUUAUGGAUGGACCCGCGUCGCAUUAGCUAGUUGGUGAGGUAACGGCUCACCAAGGCAACGAUGCGUAGCCGACCUGAGAGGGUGAUCGGCCACACUGGGACUGAGACACGGCCCAGACUCCUACGGGAGGCAGCAGUAGGGAAUCUUCCGCAAUGGACGAAAGUCUGACGGAGCAACGCCGCGUGAGUGAUGAAGGCUUUCGGGUCGUAAAACUCUGUUGUUAGGGAAGAACAAGUGCUAGUUGAAUAAGCUGGCACCUUGACGGUACCUAACCAGAAAGCCACGGCUAACUACGUGCCAGCAGCCGCGGUAAUACGUAGGUGGCAAGCGUUAUCCGGAAUUAUUGGGCGUAAAGCGCGCGCAGGUGGUUUCUUAAGUCUGAUGUGAAAGCCCACGGCUCAACCGUGGAGGGUCAUUGGAAACUGGGAGACUUGAGUGCAGAAGAGGAAAGUGGAAUUCCAUGUGUAGCGGUGAAAUGCGUAGAGAUAUGGAGGAACACCAGUGGCGAAGGCGACUUUCUGGUCUGUAACUGACACUGAGGCGCGAAAGCGUGGGGAGCAAACAGGAUUAGAUACCUGGGUAGUCCAA